CCCAUUUUCUCCGUGUUGGGCAAGUUUUUUGCUUGGGAACUUUUUGUGGUAAUUAAGCAUGUAUGGUUCUAUGAAUUGAACAACAGAAUAUCUAUUUCCCAGGAGGGUGCCACGAAAUUGCUUUUCUAGGCACUUUUUCGCACAACAGCCCACGCCCUAUUGCUUAUUCUGGUCGAAAAAUUUAUAAAUAUGCUUAUAUUAGUCUGGAAAUUUUUUUUACCCCCAUGUCGACAACAUUUCCGGGUUUACGACUUGGUCAAAAUUUUAUUAAAUAUUGAUCAAAACAUGACCCCACCCCCCAAUGUUGAUGCCUUAGCGACGCCCCUGCUUACUAUACUAUGUCUUGUUUCAUGUGUGCACUAGUGUCCAGUACCUGCAUGGUGUGAAUUGCAUUGUACAAUCCAGCAGUUAAACAAUAACAUGGUAGAUGAUGAUAAUAAUAUUUUUUUAUUUUUUUUUAAUCCAAAUGAAGAUGUUGAAUUGUCAGGAUUCCUAUACAAGAAACCAGGUGCUAUUUUGCAUGUCUGAGAUGGAGACUAAGUUGCUGCAUCCUAGAAAGUGUGAACAGAAAGGUUUACAUUGUACAAUUAGCAGCUUCAAGGCUACAACACAUGGACAAGCCACCAUUGUCAAUGACAACAUUGAUCAAGCAUGUCAUAACCUGCCAGAUAAAAUAGUGACAUAAUUGAACAUGGCCAGCAUUCUGUUCUGCUGGCACCUUCUUUACAAUAUAACAUGUUUUUAAUGGAUGAAAAUGGGAUAAAAAAAUAAAAGUAGUGUAAACUGUUGUCUAUGCUCACAAUUUCCCUGUGACUUAUUUUUAAAUCACAUCGCCUUUUAUCAGAAAUUGCAUUGCAAGUUGCAGAUUUACUAGAGGGGGGUGCACCCUCCAAGCCCUGGCAGGAGAGGGCGAAGGGGGUGCUUUUUUCAUGAUAAAGCAAAAAAUAAUAGAGAC
Paramuricea clavata is the source of this 955-nucleotide non-coding RNA. NCBI's taxonomy places the organism in Eukaryota, Metazoa, Cnidaria, Anthozoa, Malacalcyonacea, Plexauridae. The record is from the annotation of a GenBank genome assembly.